This 256-nucleotide unclassified non-coding RNA is filed under the name Rhizophydium globosum. RNAcentral describes it as "partial internal transcribed spacer region". The stretch from base 1 to 46 matches the Rfam family "Eukaryotic small subunit ribosomal RNA", at positions 1786 to 1831 of the family's 1831-position model. The record is from RNAcentral. Lineage: Eukaryota; Fungi; Chytridiomycota; Chytridiomycetes; Rhizophydiales; Rhizophydiaceae.
AAGUCGUAACAAGGUAACCGUAGGUGAACCUGCGGUUGGAUCAUUAAAAAAUUUGAAGGCGCUCCUACAUAAUCCUUUGGAUUUACUGUAGUCGAACGUUCUUCUGUCUGAAAAGUCAACACUUUGUGCACUAGAAAUGUUUUUUGGGAGUUUAUGACUCCCAGCAUUAUAAACCAAUUUUUAUAUAUUAGUCUAAUAGUUUUUCAUAUAAUGAAAUAUAUAAAAACAACUUUUGACAACGGAUCUCUUGGCUCUC